AAGACAACUUUACGGAGUUAACGAUUGACGGAGCGAAGCGACGUCAAAGCGUUCAUUAAAGUCGAGUUGGCUUAGGGAUACGUUCGUUGGGUAGGGGAGCGUUCUGUAAGCCUGUGAAGGUGGCCUGUGAGGGUUGCUGGAGGUAUCAGAAGUGCGAAUGCUGACAUAAGUAACGAUAAAGCGGGUGAAAAGCCCGCUCGCCGGAAGACCAAGGGUUCCUGUCCAACGUUAAUCGGGGCAGGGUGAGUCGACCCCUAAGGCGAGGCCGAAAGGCGUAGUCGAUGGGAAACGGGUUAAUAUUCCCGUACUUGGUGUUACUGCGAAGGGGGGACGGAGAAGGCUAUGUUGGCCGGGCGACGGUUGUCCCGGUUUAAGCGUGUAGGUGUGUGUUCCAGGUAAAUCC
This 403-nucleotide ribosomal RNA is filed under the name Salmonella enterica subsp. enterica serovar Poona. Its description in RNAcentral is "partial 23S ribosomal RNA". It matches the Rfam family "Bacterial large subunit ribosomal RNA", at positions 1164 to 1543 of the family's 2925-position model. Lineage: Bacteria; Pseudomonadati; Pseudomonadota; Gammaproteobacteria; Enterobacterales; Enterobacteriaceae. The record is from RNAcentral.